This 301-nucleotide ribosomal RNA is filed under the name uncultured bacterium. RNAcentral describes it as "partial 16S ribosomal RNA". It matches the Rfam family "Bacterial small subunit ribosomal RNA", at positions 509 to 808 of the family's 1533-position model. The record is from RNAcentral.
CAGCACCGCGGUAACACGAAGGGUGCAAGCGUUACUCGGAAUUACUGGGCGUAAAGCGUGCGUAGGUGGUGGUUUAAGUCCGUUGUGAAAGCCCUGGGCUCAACCUGGGAAUUGCAGUGGAUACUGGGUCACUAGAGUGUGGUAGAGGAUAGUGGAAUUUCCGGUGUAGCAGUGAAAUGCGUAGAGAUCGGAAGGAACAUCUGUGGCGAAGGCGACUAUCUGGGCCAACACUGACACUGAGGCACGAAAGCGUGGGGAGCAAACAGGAUUAGAUACCCGUGUAGUCCCUGUCUCUUAUACC